Panthera uncia (snow leopard) is the source of this 5896-nucleotide long non-coding RNA. RefSeq lists it as uncharacterized. The record is from RefSeq and is a predicted model, not a curated record. The transcript has 5 exons. NCBI's taxonomy places the organism in Eukaryota, Metazoa, Chordata, Mammalia, Carnivora, Felidae.
AGGGCAGCCCUUUUCUCUCCAAGAACCUCCCUGGAGUUGGAUGAGGGGCCAGAGACUUGCCUGGCAGCCUUAAUUAGGAUAGAUGCAGUUUUGGAGACAAUCUGUUCCGGAGACCCUGUGCAGGACACAUUUGUACCCUGGGCUCUGGCGCUGCUCUUGCCAGUAGUAGCCUGACUUCACAUGCCUCGAUGGAAUUCUCUGGCAGAACCUCUCCAAAAUGUGUGGAAAAUCUGUCUCUCCAGGUCCUCCUUCUUCACUUCAAGGUGAAACCAGUGACUUCCCGCAUUGCCUCUGUGGGAGCCGGGUGAGCACUAAUGAUCUGCUGGUGCCCAACAGGAACCGCCACAGAGCUUCCGAUCUUUCCAGAAGUAGGCAGGAAAUCGAGAGAGCAUCAUUUCAUGGAAACCAAAUUGGGAGACUGGCCAGCAGCAUUGGAUGAAGAAGGAGUCACAAAAUCAGGACUAAAGAGUGCUCUUUGGCGUUGGCAUUUCCAAGGUUUAUUGGUACCCUUCUGUCUAAUUGAAUAUCAAGGGAAGAGACUGAGGCAGAGAGGGAAGAAACAGAUUGAUGAAGGAGCCACAAAUGAGUCAUUGUUCGAGGCUGGGACGUGAAGAUUUUAUAAGAAAAGCCGGUGGGCUCCCAGACGAAGUUAAAAAGCUUCAAGUGUCCCCCACGAACUUCUGGAUCUCCUGUAUCCCCAGCAGACCCUCACCUCCCUGCCUCUGAGGUCAGAGGCCACCUUGAACGGUGGGUCCAAGGUAAGUACACGCCCGUGCCCCUUGCAAGCCUGCCUCCCUCGAAUUAAGCAUUGCCAGACAUGCAAGGCAAAACACCGUCCGUGGGACAUUAAUAAAUGUGUGGGCAAACAAGAUUCAUAUUCAUAUAAUCUUGCAAAACACUUGAAAUUUCUUACUGUAGGCCUUUUUUUUCCCCUCUGAGUCUUUGCUCUGUCACCAUGCAUGAUGACCCUCCAAGAGGGGUUCUAUUUCCCAAAUGUAUCUGGCAAGAUGGGACUUUUUUCCUAGAGCGUCUCUUAAGCUCACCUUGGCUUGGAAGAGACUUUAGGGCAUUUGGUUUUGAUGCGUGCAAUCAAGCUGCCGUUUGACAGCUGUCACAUGCUUUUUUUUCCAGACAGUUCCACGUCUCAUGUCCUUAUGCUCUGUGUGUAUCUAGCACAUACAGGGCACUGCGUAUAGUAGAAGUCCUAUGAUCCCUGCUAAAUGUUGGGGACUGUCAGAAUAAAUGUGUGGAAUUGGGAUAGGGCCUCCUGGGAAAGCGCUGUUUGCAAGUUUUCAGGCCUGGGAUUGAUGAGCUGUGUGGCUCUGGAGAAUCUUCUCAGCUUCCCUGGGUGGCAUUCUGCUUACCCUGCAGUGGGCAUGAUGAUAUCUGAUUCCCAGGAACUUGGAGGAAAGGUGAACGAGAUAACAGACGCACUGGCCUAGAGCCACUGCUGGGUGUGUCAGGACAAUAGCGUGUGCGGUUUGAGUCUUGGCACGGUGGGCAAAGUACGGGAAACCCCAAAUUCCCUGAUGCCCCAAAUCCUUUCCUCUUUCAGAGAGCCAGACAGCAGGCAGUGUGGAAGUACUUUUGGGGCGGGGAUACAGCGGCUCCUGUCCUCCCCCCUGGCUCUUCCCUCCGAGGCCUGCCCUCAGGUUCCUGACCCUGCGGUGCUGCCACAGCCUGGCUUGUGAACCGGGCAGCAGCAGGGCCUCCCGGGGGCAGCAGCUGACCACACUUGGCAGUUUUUGCAACAGUUGUAGCGCUGGUCUCGAUGCGCCCCUUGGCGAUACCUGCCCCGGCCUGCGGGCAUCCCCCUGCAGGGGCCCGAGUCCCUGUCCAUGGUCCCCGGAGCCUCCUAAUUCCAACUGUCUUCAUCUUCCCAGCCCUAGUGGUGGCUCUGUCUCCUGCAGUGGGUUGAACCAUGACGCCUGGGGGUUUUCUUACCCUUUCGGCUGCCUAGUUAUCAACUAGAUUCCCAGUGAACAAUUCUUAACGUUAAAUGGUUUCCGUUCCCAUAACUGGGUUGACUUCUGUCUCCUGACGGGACCCUGGCUGAUAGUGGACAGAAGGAAGAAUGGCAGGAAGGAAGGAAGGAAGGGAGGAGCUAGAAGGAAGGACAGAAGCCAUCUGUCUUCUAAAUCCACAUCUUGUGCUCGCCCCCGGAACCCUCAGCUGCCAGUCAAGUCCGGGGCUGGCUGGCUUGCACCCUGCCUCUGACCAGAAACAAGAACCCUCCGUGCGUGGGGCUGCCCCCAAGCAGGAUAACCCGUUUCCACAGAUUAGCUGGUUAAGCAUGAUGGGUCUCUUGUUUUCUCGUGGAAAUGGCUGCUCAAAUGUGUUUUUCUUUAAGGUGAUGGAAAGUCAUCCGUGAUUCAUUAAAGUGUUUGGCGAUGUUGAUUGCUGUUAUAAUGAUUAUUACAUUGUCGUAUUAGGUUAUAGCUAUUAACAUUGUCACUUUUAUGGGAAACUGCUAAUGAACCAGUCACAAGAACAGAAGAUACUAAGCCCAUGAACUUGGUGUUUGGGGCGUGCUUGCUUCAUGAGCUCAAAGGGAGACUGGGGGCUUUUCCUAUGCUGGGCUCAAGAGUGUGUUCUCUGAAAUCAGAUAGCUCGAUUCCACCUCCCGUUCACUGUAGGCUCACUUAGCUUUCCUGUUCUCUGAGUUCCCAGCUCUGAACGAGGGAGAAGCAUAAUAAUAAUAACACCUCCUCAGAGAUUAUUGGCAGAUUAGAUAACAGAACUUUCUCCAGAGCUAUCUCCAAUAACCGUCACUGCUUCUGUAAACAGAUCCGGACCCAACAAUUUCUUCAGCCCUGAGACCCCUCUUUCUGCCCCAACCUCAACUUUUAAGCUUAUUUCUUCCAGCAACUACCCAGUGAAACAAGGAAGUGGAUGGAUGCCAUCUUUGUGUGUCAGUGUGAUCAGCGACAGUGGGUGGCCCUUUGGUGGGGCUUUGUACAUGCUCACUGAACCAACUCUUGGUAGGCCCCAGGCUUUAGGUGUCAUGAAGAGUAGAGACUGGACCCACAAUCUAACACUCCAUGGACUUGACACGAUUCUGGAUAGCCAGAGACAAUACACACUGAUCUUACUAAAGUGGUUCUCCAAUGAGAAUCCCUGGGAAGCUCAUCAAAUAAGAUGCAGAUCCUCAGCCCUGUCCCGAGAGACGCUGAAUCGCUAGGUCUGGGAUGGGCUCUGAUGGUUAUAUCACAACAAGCUCCUGGGGAAACUGGGGUGCCAUGUGGGUGCCCUGAGGACGACACUCGAGGAAUAUUGCAUUGUGGGGUCAUUGCGAGGUCUCAGUGCAGCUGUAAAUAGACUUGCACCUGGUUGGUGCACAUCAUCUCCCUUCGUUGAUUAGGAGAUCCUUGCUGGUAGGAUGUCUGCUGGGUUUUAGGUCAUGAUGUUUGGGCUUAAACUUCAGACCCGCCAAAAACAGCUGUGAAAGCUGAGACCCAUUGCUGACUUUCGGGGGUGUCAUUUUUCUUCUCACCUGCCCAUACAGAUUUGAAGGGAACCUUUUAAGGGUAUCACAUGAGAUAUUAUAUGAGAAAAGUGCUUCGUAAACCAUAAAAUAGCUUUCAAAUGUUAAUUAUUUUUAAAUUUAUGGGUUCAUUUUAUUUUAUGAUGAGUCUCCAAAUCCAUAUUCUUAAUCCUAAAUAAGAAAUUAUUUUUCAAAAAUAAAGAAUCGUUUACAAGGUGAAUUGCAAUGAAGUCAGCCCAGGGGACCACUUGUAAUCCACAAAGGCAGUGCUGAAAGGGGACAGGGACCACCGGCCUGAUCCGUCAGGUGUAGGUUCUGAGUGGGGACAGAGCGGUGUGACCUGCCCCCAUGUCCCCAGAACAGGGUAGGCCGAAGUGAGGUCCUGCUUGUGGCACUGCCCAGGCCUCCUUCUCCUAUCUCUGCUGAGGCCUCAGGUCUGGUCCCCUCCCCUGUCCCCCACACUCCACUCUCCAUCCACACACCUCUCUUGUCCUCUCCUGUACUCCACAGGUGGGGUCAAGGAGCAGGCCACACCUUUCCUGUUGCCACCUGCACGUUUCUCAUAAUGAGGAUAACCCAUAUUUCCACAACUCUGACCCUGGCUACUGUCUUUGACUUGCAAAGAGCUGGUGAAGGGAAAGUCAACACAGCUCUGAGCCAGACAGACUUAAGGGCACACUGUGCCCAGUAAGCUUCUGUCCUCGAUGCGUCUUCUAGCCUCUGCCCCUCACUCUCAUCCUUGUCUAGGAGAUGGUGUUAAAGAUAAGCUCCUGUCUUCAUCAAAGUGAUCAAUAAAUGAGAGUAAGAAAUGAAAGGAACAGGCAUUAAUAAAGCACCUACUGUGUGCCUGGCCCUUCAGCCACGUGAUUCCAUAUGAUCUUCUCCCAGGCCAGUGCUGUUGGGUUGUUACUGUCCUCGUUCCACCAAUUGGGACGUCCUGCCAACGUCCCACCAACAGUGCUGUUGGGUUGUUACUUGUCCUCUUCAAGAACGCAAGAAUGGUUGACGCUUGCAUUCGCUAGCACCCGGGAUGUGGCCAAGAGACAGCCAUGCCCUCUCCAUUUGCAAGGGAGUACAUUCUACCAGAAAUGGGAAUAUGUGCAAUCUGCCAAAGGCCGCAUGGCCUGCACGUGGCUUAGCAAGAACUGAAACCCAGCCUGCCUGGUUCAGAGCAACCCUUUCAUGCUCAUGCAGUGGGUGAGCCAGCUCUCCUGCCGGGGACACACGGGGUGUCGCUUCCAUGCCCUGGACCUACGCAGAUCUGUGGGGACCUGUGUGCUCAGGGACGGCUCCCGUCUCCCUUGGCUCUUCUCUUCUCCUUCCCCCUCACUGUCUCUCAGAUUUUGCAAUUGCCUCAUUAAAAUGCAAUUGUGUGAUUCAUCAACAUUAUAGGAGAAAGCAGUUAGAUAAAAUACAGGGAAAAAAUGAGUAUUUGCAGAGACAAGUAGUAUCGAGCUUUCUACCUCAUCAAGGGGCUAAAUGCAUGCAUGUUAGCCCUAUCACCCUGACGUCCAGAAAUCCCCGGAGUGUGGAGGGGUUUUUUUCCUCUUCAGUCUCUUAUAUGAUCCAUGAUCUUUACGUUUCGCCCACCCUUGUGAAAGCUAAUGGCAUCAUUUUCAUGCAUGGACACGGGCCUGCCAGCUGACAGUGGUUAGCAAUUCUUAUUACAAAUAUAUCUUCUAAUUCCCGAGCUAGAAUUGUAAAGCUUUUCUAUAGUGACACUGAACCAAAAUAUCGAAAUUGCUCAAGCCUUUAAAGAAAGCAGCAGCAAAAGGUUGCAGAACGCCUUUUAAGUAAUGCUGCAGCAAGGCUCUCUGGAAUACAGAUACAUGCCUGCCUGGGCCUUCCUGUCACCUCAGAUCACCCUGGAAUUCAGACUGCAAACUUCCAGUGCCUUUGGCAGGAAUUGCAGACAGGCAGAGAGAGAGAGAGAAAGAGAGAGAGAGAGAGAGAGAGGUGGGGGGGGGGUCUCUUUGAAAAGUAACUUCUACACAGUUUUGAUCAUUACCACUGUCUGAACAUGGAGAAGCCUCUUUGCAGUUUGGAAUGGAAAUGAUAAAACAGGAUGUGCAUGUCAGUUACAACCUGUAGGCUUAUCCUUUGAAGGCAUCCCCCUCCCUGUUCAGGGGCCACAUCCACUUUGGCUUUUCCUUCAAGAUGUAAUUCCCUGUCCAUAUUCAUAAUGAAGGCAUCCUUCACUUCCCCCUUCCUGUCCCAGGCUCCCUCUGGGCUCACCACCCUCUUCCUUCUCCCCAUCACAGCUAAGCAAGUGUGGACAAGGGAAACAUUCUGGCUUUGAAGUCAGUCUGGACUCCCAUCUUGGACGUAAGAUUUAGGGCAAGACGUUUAACCUCUCAAAGCCUUCCUUACUUCACCAAAUGCACUUAAUGAUAUUUGUUUCGUGGAAGUGUU